RNAcentral lists this ribosomal RNA (462 nucleotides) under uncultured bacterium. RNAcentral describes it as "partial 16S ribosomal RNA". It matches the Rfam family "Bacterial small subunit ribosomal RNA", at positions 28 to 507 of the family's 1533-position model. The record is from RNAcentral.
GACGAACGCUGGCGGCGUGCUUAACACAUGCAAGUCGAGCGGAAAGGCCCUUCGGGGUACUCGAGCGGCGAACGGGUGAGUAACACGUGAGUAACCUGCCCCAGACUUUGGGAUAACCCCCGGAAACGGGGGCUAAUACCGGAUACGACACAGCUUCGCAUGGGGUCUGUGUGGAAAGUUUUUCGGUUUGGGAUGGGCUCGCGGCCUAUCAGCUUGUUGGUGGGGUGAUGGCCUACCAAGGCGACGACGGGUAGCCGGCCUGAGGGGGCGACCGGCCACACUGGGACUGAGACACGGCCCAGACUCCUACGGGAGGCAGCAGUGGGGAAUAUUGCACAAUGGGCGGAAGCCUGAUGCAGCGACGCCGCGUGAGGGAUGACGGCCUUCGGGUUGUAAACCUCUUUCAGCAGGGACGAAGCGUAAGUGACGGUACCUGCAGAAGAAGCGCCGGCCAACUACGUG